CAGUAGACGUGGGUUCAAUACCUGGGACGGAAAGAUCCCCUGGAGAUGGAAACAGAAACCCACUCCAGUAUUCUUGCUUGGAAAAUCCUGUGGACAGAGGAGCCUGACGGGCUGCAGUCCAUGGGGUCGCAAAGAGUCAGACACAACUUGGCAACUAAAUCACCACGACCUUCAGGGGUCUGAAUCAGAGCCGUCCAAUCCACACCGACCUCAAGCAGCUCUGAGUCUGUAGAGCUGUCAUUGUAUAUGCAACAAGUUCAGUCACGGUGCUGGGUGUCUUCUCCUGGGUUGGGAACUGGUUCUACUGGUUAUUGGCCAUGUGGGUCUCUGUGGAGAGUAUGCUUGAGGGCAGAGUCUACACGGCGAACUCCUUGGGGACAGAAGCCAGGCCUCUACCUCUGGGAACCUCCCUCACCCCUUGGCAUCUUGAUGGGUCAACUGAUGCAUGGCUCGUGCCAAUAAAUCCCAGACCUGGAGAACCACCUGGAGAGUUUGGAAAAUUCACAGGGUCAACUUCUCCUUAUAUUUCCUGAAUCUCCAUCUUGUAGGUGGUGUGUUUUUUUGAUCUUUCUGUUUUUGUUUCCUCUAGUUUUAUUGAGAUAUAAUAAACAUACAGGUUUCCCUGGUAGCUCA
This 633-nucleotide long non-coding RNA is filed under the name Bos indicus x Bos taurus (hybrid cattle). RNAcentral's name for it is "lncRNA (ENSBIXG00005008464.1)". Lineage: Eukaryota; Metazoa; Chordata; Mammalia; Artiodactyla; Bovidae. The record is from RNAcentral.